RNAcentral lists this transfer RNA (96 nucleotides) under Acidimicrobiales bacterium. RNAcentral describes it as "tRNA-Sec". It matches the Rfam family "Selenocysteine transfer RNA". RNAcentral also lists the same sequence under 1 other name. Lineage: Bacteria; Bacillati; Actinomycetota; Acidimicrobiia; Acidimicrobiales. The record is from RNAcentral.
GGAAGCGAUCGAGUUCCUGGUGGGCUCCCCGGUCUUCAAAACCGUGCGGCACCUGCGUGCAGGUGCGGGGGGUUCGAUUCCCCUUCGCUUCCGCCA